RNAcentral lists this RNase P RNA (308 nucleotides) under Maribacter stanieri. RNAcentral's name for it is "Bacterial RNase P class A". It matches the Rfam family "Bacterial RNase P class A". From Rfam's summary of the family: Ribonuclease P (RNase P) is a ubiquitous endoribonuclease, found in archaea, bacteria and eukarya as well as chloroplasts and mitochondria. Its best characterised activity is the generation of mature 5'-ends of tRNAs by cleaving the 5'-leader elements of precursor-tRNAs. Cellular RNase Ps are ribonucleoproteins. The record is from RNAcentral. Lineage: Bacteria; Pseudomonadati; Bacteroidota; Flavobacteriia; Flavobacteriales; Flavobacteriaceae.
AAAGCAGGCCGCCUUAUCGCUGCCAAGUAAUUGGGAGAGGAAAGUCCGGACACCAUAGUGCAGUAUAGCGGGUAACGCCCGUCCACUGAAAAGUGAGGACAAGUGCAACAGAAAGCAAGUACAGUUCGGCUGUAGUGAAACCAGGUAAACUCUAUACGGUGAAACGUCAUGUAAAUCGGUGUUUAAGGGCUGCACGCUCAAGCCGAAGGGUAGGCGGUUAGAGCAUUGGGGUAACCCAUUGCCUAGAUAAAUGAUAAGGAAUUCUAAUUUUUUAGUCUACAGAAUCCGGCUUAUGGCCUGCUUUUUUA